GCGGUGGUGAUGAUCAUGAUGAUGAUGAUAGAGAGGGCGAUGAAAAGGGAGCUCAAGGCGGUGGUGGUGGUGGUGGAUCAGCUCUUACUUGCAUCCGUGUAGUCCAUGCUAGCUCUUCAGGUAUUAUGAGUUUGUAAUUAACCAACCUAACUUUAUAUUAAAAUAUGUGUUAUGUUUGGCUUUAUAAUAAUUUUCAUUUUUAUUGAAUUUAUGGUUUGAGAGUAGUCACUUACCACCGGAGGUAUGUUUGCCCACGGUUUUCCGGUGUAAGAGAGUCAGCUCACUCGACGAUGAAGACGAAGAGUAUGCAUAACAAACGGCUGUGAACACCGGAGGUCAUGUGUUCAAAGGCAUUCUCUACGACCAAGGUCCAUCAGAUG
RNAcentral lists this long non-coding RNA (380 nucleotides) under Brassica napus (rape). Its description in RNAcentral is "long non-coding RNA (BNAP_LNC009052)". Lineage: Eukaryota; Viridiplantae; Streptophyta; Magnoliopsida; Brassicales; Brassicaceae. The record is from RNAcentral.